This 328-nucleotide ribosomal RNA is filed under the name uncultured Legionella sp. RNAcentral describes it as "bacterial SSU rRNA". It matches the Rfam family "Bacterial small subunit ribosomal RNA", at positions 461 to 789 of the family's 1533-position model. Lineage: Bacteria; Pseudomonadati; Pseudomonadota; Gammaproteobacteria; Legionellales; Legionellaceae. The record is from RNAcentral.
UGAUUAACUGGACGUUACCCACAGAAGAAGCACCGGCUAACUCCGUGCCAGCAGCCGCGGUAAUACGGAGGGUGCGAGCGUUAAUCGGAAUUACUGGGCGUAAAGGGUGCGUAGGUGGUUGAUUAAGUUAUCUGUGAAAUUCCUGGGCUUAACCUGGGACGGUCAGAUAAUACUGGUUGACUCGAGUAUGGGAGAGGGUAGUGGAAUUUCCGGUGUAGCGGUGAAAUGCGUAGAGAUCGGAAGGAACACCAGUGGCGAAGGCGGCUACCGGCCUAAUACUGACACUGAGGCACGAAAGCGUGGGGAGCAAACAGGAUUAGAUACCCGG